RNAcentral lists this ribosomal RNA (439 nucleotides) under uncultured bacterium. RNAcentral's name for it is "partial 16S ribosomal RNA". It matches the Rfam family "Bacterial small subunit ribosomal RNA", at positions 339 to 795 of the family's 1533-position model. The record is from RNAcentral.
CUACGGGGGGCUCCAGUGGGGAAUAUUGGACAAUGGGGGAAACCCUGAUCCAGCAAUGCCGCGUGCGUGAAGAAGGACUUCGGUUUGUAAAACGCUUUUAUAAGGGAAGAUGAUGACGGUACCUUAUGAAUAAGCUCCGGCUAACUUCGUGCCAGCAGCCGCGGUAAUACGAAGGGAGCUAGCGUUGUUCGGAAUUACUGGGCGUAAAGGGCGUGUAGGCGGUUAGGAGCGUGAGAUGUGAAAGCCCUGGGCUCAACCCAGGAAUGGCAUUUCAUACGACUUAACUAGAGUGCGAGAGGGGGAAGCGGAAUGGCCAGUGUAGCAGUGAAAUGCGUUGAUAUUGGCUGGAACACCAGAGGCGAAGGCGGCUUUCUGGCUCGCAACUGACGCUGAGGCGCGAAAGCGUGGGGAGCAAACAGGAUUAGAUACCCCUGUAGUC